AUACGUAGGGGGCGAGCGUUGUCCGGAAUGAUUGGGCGUAAAGGGCGCGUAGGCGGCGCGGUAAGUCUGGAGUGAAAGUCCUGCUUUCAAGGUGGGAAUUGCUUUGGAUACUGCCGCGCUUGAGUGCAGGAGAGGUUAUCGGAAUUCCCGGUGUAGCGGUGAAAUGCGUAGAGAUCGGGAGGAACACCAGUGGCGAAGGCGGGUAACUGGACUGCAACUGACGCUGAGGCGCGAAAGUGUGGGGAGCAAACAGGAUUAGAUACCCUGGUAGUCCACACUGUAAACGAUGAAUGCUAGGUGUAAGAGGUAUCGACCCCUUUUGUGCCGGAGUCAACACAAUAAGCAUUCCGCCUGGGGAGUACGGCCGCAAGGUUGAAACUCAAAGGAAAUGACGGGG
Molecule: ribosomal RNA, 397 nt
Filed under: uncultured bacterium
Lineage: Bacteria
Description: partial 16S ribosomal RNA
Rfam family: Bacterial small subunit ribosomal RNA
Source: RNAcentral